AUGGGGCCAGACUACCGAGUCCUCCCCCUCCGAGAGCAAGUGAAUGCAGGCAAUGAGUCGCUGCCAGUCAUCCAACUCUUCAGGAGACAGAGUCCUACGAAGUGGCCGCAGCUGCUCGUCGCGGCGGAUAGGUACGAUCUGCAGCGGCUGAAGCUCAUAUGUGAAGCUAAGAUAUGCGGGUUCAUUGGUGUGAACACCACGACGACCAUCCUGGAAUUAGCUGAGAACCACCACUGUGACGGGCUGAGGAAGGCCUGCUAUAAUUUUCUGGGCGCGCCCGGCAAUCUCAGGGCUGUCACAACCACUGAUGGGUUCGACAAUUUGAUUACGAGCCACCCCUCCGUCAUGAAGGAGCUGAUCGCCAUGCUUGCGCCCUAG
Molecule: ribosomal RNA, 378 nt
Filed under: Triticum aestivum (bread wheat)
Lineage: Eukaryota; Viridiplantae; Streptophyta; Magnoliopsida; Poales; Poaceae
Description: partial small subunit ribosomal RNA
Source: RNAcentral